AGAGUUUGAUCAUGGCUCAGAUUGAACGCUGGCGGCAGGCCUAACACAUGCAAGUCGAACGGUAACAGGAAGCAGCUUGCUGCUUCGCUGACGAGUGGCGGACGGGUGAGUAAUGUCUGGGGAUCUGCCUGAUGGAGGGGGAUAACUACUGGAAACGGUAGCUAAUACCGCAUAACGUCGCAAGACCAAAGAGGGGGACCUUCGGGCCUCUUGCCAUCAGAUGAACCCAGAUGGGAUUAGCUAGUAGGUGGGGUAACGGCUCACCUAGGCGACGAUCCCUAGCUGGUCUGAGAGGAUGACCAGCCACACUGGAACUGAGACACGGUCCAGACUCCUACGGGAGGCAGCAGUGGGGAAUAUUGCACAAUGGGCGCAAGCCUGAUGCAGCCAUGCCGCGUGUAUGAAGAAGGCCUUCGGGUUGUAAAGUACUUUCAGCGGGGAGGAAGGUGUUGUGGUUAAUAACCACAGCAAUUGACGUUACCCGCAGAAGAAGCACCGGCUAACUCCGUGCCAGCAGCCGCGGUAAUACGGAGGGUGCAAGCGUUAAUCGGAAUUACUGGGCGUAAAGCGCACGCAGGCGGUCUGUCAAGUCGGAUGUGAAAUCCCCGGGCUCAACCUGGGAACUGCAUUCGAAACUGGCAGGCUAGAGUCUUGUAGAGGGGGGUAGAAUUCCAGGUGUAGCGGUGAAAUGCGUAGAGAUCUGGAGGAAUACCGGUGGCGAAGGCGGCCCCCUGGACAAAGACUGACGCUCAGGUGCGAAAGCGUGGGGAGCAAACAGGAUUAGAUACCCUGGUAGUCCACGCCGUAAACGAUGUCGACUUGGAGGUUGUGCCCUUGAGGCGUGGCUUCCGGAGCUAACGCGUUAAGUCGACCGCCUGGGGAGUACGGCCGCAAGGUUAAAACUCAAAUGAAUUGACGGGGGCCCGCACAAGCGGUGGAGCAUGUGGUUUAAUUCGAUGCAACGCGAAGAACCUUACCUACUCUUGACAUCCAGAGAACUUUCCAGAGAUGGAUUGGUGCCUUCGGGAACUCUGAGACAGGUGCUGCAUGGCUGUCGUCAGCUCGUGUUGUGAAAUGUUGGGUUAAGUCCCGCAACGAGCGCAACCCUUAUCCUUUGUUGCCAGCGGUCCGGCCGGGAACUCAAAGGAGACUGCCAGUGAUAAACUGGAGGAAGGUGGGGAUGACGUCAAGUCAUCAUGGCCCUUACGAGUAGGGCUACACACGUGCUACAAUGGCGCAUACAAAGAGAAGCGAACUCGCGAGAGCAAGCGGACCUCAUAAAGUGCGUCGUAGUCCGGAUUGGAGUCUGCAACUCGACUCCAUGAAGUCGGAAUCGCUAGUAAUCGUAGAUCAGAAUGCUACGGUGAAUACGUUCCCGGGCCUUGUACACACCGCCCGUCACACCAUGGGAGUGGGUUGCAAAAGAAGUAGGUAGCUUAACCUUCGGGAGGGCGCUUACCACUUUGUGAUUCAUGACUGGGGUGAAGUCGUAACAAGGUAACCGUAA
Molecule: ribosomal RNA, 1507 nt
Filed under: Enterobacter sp. JUNL-1
Lineage: Bacteria; Pseudomonadati; Pseudomonadota; Gammaproteobacteria; Enterobacterales; Enterobacteriaceae
Description: bacterial SSU rRNA
Rfam family: Bacterial small subunit ribosomal RNA
Source: RNAcentral